GAGGGUGUAGCUCAGUGGUAGAGUGUGUGCUUAGCAUGCACAGGGUCCUGGGUUCAAUCCCUCCAUUA
This 68-nucleotide transfer RNA is filed under the name Camelus bactrianus (Bactrian camel). It matches the Rfam family "tRNA". Rfam says of the family: Transfer RNA (tRNA) molecules are approximately 80 nucleotides in length. Their secondary structure includes four short double-helical elements and three loops (D, anti-codon, and T loops). Further hydrogen bonds mediate the characteristic L-shaped molecular structure. tRNAs have two regions of fundamental functional importance: the anti-codon, which is responsible for specific mRNA codon recognition, and the 3' end, to which the tRNAs corresponding amino acid is attached (by aminoacyl-tRNA synthetases). tRNAs cope with the degeneracy of the genetic code in two manners: having more than one tRNA (with a specific anti-codon) for a particular amino acid; and 'wobble' base-pairing, i.e. permitting non-standard base-pairing at the 3rd anti-codon position. Lineage: Eukaryota; Metazoa; Chordata; Mammalia; Artiodactyla; Camelidae. RNAcentral also lists the same sequence under 2 other names. The record is from Rfam by way of RNAcentral.